RNAcentral lists this long non-coding RNA (303 nucleotides) under Setaria viridis. RNAcentral describes it as "long non-coding RNA (SVIR_LNC004867)". The record is from RNAcentral. Lineage: Eukaryota; Viridiplantae; Streptophyta; Magnoliopsida; Poales; Poaceae.
AACAGAUCACAUCCAUAUAUAUGAGGUAACACAACCAAAGGUAGCAUGAGCCUAUUAUCUUCUUGUUGUAGUUCUAACCAAGCGGCCUACUUUCUUAUGGUCACCACUGCAAGGUGCGUGUUAAUGCCUUCGAUUUCCCAAAUCUUUACCUCAAACAACCAUCAAGCGCUCUUACUCGAAGCUCUUCCUCCUGAUAGCUGCUGAGACGACUCCCACAAUACUUGCCAUCGAUCCUACUCAACAUUAUGCAAUUGUCUGGCCUUUCCCCUCCCGCAUGCUGUCACCACACAAGGGUAAUCACAC